RNAcentral lists this ribosomal RNA (495 nucleotides) under uncultured bacterium. RNAcentral describes it as "partial 16S ribosomal RNA". It matches the Rfam family "Bacterial small subunit ribosomal RNA", at positions 28 to 507 of the family's 1533-position model. The record is from RNAcentral.
GACGAACGCUGGCGGCGUGCCUAAUACAUGCAAGUAGAACGCUGAAGGAGGAGCUUGCUUCUCUGGAUGAGUUGCGAACGGGUGAGUAACGCGUAGGUAACCUGCCUGGUAGCGGGGGAUAACUAUUGGAAACGAUAGCUAAUACCGCAUAAUAGUAGAUGUUGCAUGACAUUUGCUUAAAAGGUGCAAUUGCAUCACUACCAGAUGGACCUGCGUUGUAUUAGCUAGUUGGUGAGGUAACGGCUCACCAAGGCGACGAUACAUAGCCGACCUGAGAGGGUGAUCGGCCACACUGGGACUGAGACACGGCCCAGACUCCUACGGGAGGCGGCAGUAGGGAAUCUUCGGCAAUGGACGGAAGUCUGACCGAGCAACGCCGCGUGAGUGAAGAAGGUUUUCGGAUCGUAAAGCUCUGUUGUAAGAGAAGAACGAGUGUGAGAGUGGAAAGUUCACACUGUGACGGUAUCUUACCAGAAAGGGACGGCUAACUACGUG